GUGAGGAAUAUUGGACAAUGGGCGCAAGCCUGAUCCAGCCAUGCCGCGUGCAGGAAGACGCAUCUAUGGUGUGUAAACUGCUUUUGUACGGGAAGAAACACUCCCUCGUGAGGGAGCUUGACGGUACCGUAAGAAUAAGGAUCGGCUAACUCCGUGCCAGCAGCCGCGGUAAUACGGAGGAUCCAAGCGUUAUCCGGAAUCAUUGGGUUUAAAGGGUCCGUAGGCGGUUUAAUAAGUCAGUGGUGAAAGCCCAUCGCUCAACGAUGGAACGGCCAUAGAUACUGUUAGACUUGAAUUACAAGGAAGUAACUAGAAUAUGUAGUGUAGCGGUGAAAUGCUUAGAUAUUACAUGGAAUACCAAUUGCGAAGGCAGGUUACUACUUGUGGAUUGACGCUGAUGGACGAAAGCGUGGGGAGCGAACAGGAUUAGAUACCCCGGUAGUCC
Molecule: ribosomal RNA, 445 nt
Filed under: uncultured bacterium
Lineage: Bacteria
Description: partial 16S ribosomal RNA
Rfam family: Bacterial small subunit ribosomal RNA
Source: RNAcentral